This is a non-coding RNA of Phrynosoma platyrhinos (Desert horned lizard), 72 nucleotides long. NCBI's taxonomy places the organism in Eukaryota, Metazoa, Chordata, Lepidosauria, Squamata, Phrynosomatidae. The record is from the annotation of a GenBank genome assembly.
GUCAGCAUGGUGUAAUGGUUUGAGCACUGGACUAUGACUCUAGAGAUCAGGGUUCAAUUCCCCUCUCAGCUA